CUCUAAGAUAAAGGUAUCCUUUUUCUAUGGUUGAAUUAUGUUGACCAUGAAUACUGAAUUUAUCAACGUUGCCAUGGUAGUUGCUUACAAUAAUAAACCUAAUAUCCGGAUUUGUCUUCAAACAGAAGUGAUGGAAGAGGAUACCAUGGAGAAGCAUGGUGUUAUUAAGCACGGCAAGCAGAAAGUAAAAACUACCAAUGAGAUCGAACCGGUUCAUGGAUUAACAUAUUGUCGUAGAAAAGCUAAUAAAAUGCGUCAUUCUAAUAAAGGGAAAUGUAAAUUGGAUGAUAUGUCUUUUAAUGAUAAGAGCGAUGAUAAAAUAAGUUCUCCAAAAAGUAAGAGUAGACGUCACCUUCGUAAAGAGAUUGAAAGACUGAUGGAAGAGAAUCAUAUGUUAAUGAUGAAAUUAGAAGAUUUCAAUGCGAUUUCAGAUGAUAGGGAGGAACAAAAGGAUAAAGAUAAAUUAAUAUUUAAAAUACGCGAUAAGUAUCAUAAAUUAGCGCAGGAAUAUGAACGUGUACAACAGGAGUGCGAAGAAUUGAAUGUUCUUUUGAAGCAAAAAGAAACGGAAUAUAGACAAUUGCAUGUUCAUCAUGAAGAAUCGACUCAGAUUUAUCAACAAUUAGAAACAACAAAAGAUAGUUUAUUAAAUCUUAAUCAAAAAUUAAAAUCUGAUAAUAUACAAUUGAAGGAAGAUAUUGUGCUUCUUAAAAAAGUAAUUUAUCAAUUAAAUGUAGAAUUAGAAAGGUAUCAGGAUAAACUGAGAUCAUGUGGACAAAUUAUACCAUUGCAAUAUAGUACUAGUACGAUGAACGAUGCAGAACUGUCUAAAGAAAAUAAGAAGAUGUUAGAAUCCUGGGGUAAUGUAGAUUUACAUGCUUUGGGUCCACUUUUAAACGCUUAUCAAGAGAAUAUAAUGGAAAAGAAAGAAUUGAUAAGCAAGUAUGAACGUGAACUCAAUGAUUUUACUGGCAGAUGUAAGGAAAUUAUAUUGGAAAAUGAAUAUUUACAAAAGGAAUUGGAAAAUUCUAAAUCAAAGUGUAAUAGGUAUGUGGAAGAGAUAAAAGAAAUUUCAAAUGAUGCCACUUUGAUCAAGGAACAAAAUGAUAAAGUUACGCAGCAAGUUGUUAAUCACAAACAAAAACUUCAAGAAUUACAAUCCUUGUAUGAAAGGAAAAUAGAAUCUUUGGCUCAAGAAAACAAAAGUCUACAUAAAGAAGUAGUAACUUAUAAAACAGAAUUGAGUAAUCUUCAAGGAAAAUAUAAAAUAAUAAAUGAAGGGUAUGAAAUGUUGAAAAGUAAUAGCGAUAAAACAAUGCCGGUACACGUGCAUGUUGCAGCAGUAGAUGAAUGCAAAAGAUUGUUCGAAGAAUUGAAAUCGCAGUACGAAUCAGAGAAGAAAAAACUUUCUACACGUAUCAAACAAUUGGAGGAGUCUCUACCAGACAAUGAGAAACAAUUUGUGACGGUAACAGCGGAGCGAAAUCAUUUAAAAAAUCUAACGAGAACGUUAGAGCGCAAUCUAAAACGUACUCAGCACAAAUUAACAAACGUGCAAAAUGUGGUAUACUCUGUACAAAUUUCACGUGACUCAUUUAAAAGACAAUUGAAUAAAACCACUGCAUAUUGCGAAAGGUUAGUAUCGGAAUAUGAAAAAGUUAUGUCGGAGAAGGAAAAAUUAAUGAAUUUGUUACACGAAAGAGAGAAAGAAAAUGCGGAUAUUCAAUACAUAGGCGACAGUAUAGCUCAUAGAGUAGGAAAUCUUAAAAGUCAAUUGAACGCUGUACAAAAGGACGCGAAGGAUCAAUUGGCAAUGGUGGAAAGGCAUAUUAGAAUACACGAAGUUGGAACAAAUCAAUUGAAAUCGGAAUAUCGUCAAGAGGUACAACGUUUGAAACGUUUGCUUAAGCAAAAGGACGACGUUAUAACUCAAUUACAAAAGGAAAAAGAAAAACUAACGUCUCAAGAAAAUAUUGAAUUGGUUUGACAAUACUAAAUGAGUAUUGAUAAAAUGAUUUAAUUAAUCGAUUCAAUAAUUGGAAAAGCAUUAAGCAUAAUGAUUCUAUCAGAUCAUAUUGGUAAUUUAUAUAGUUUGAUAUGUCACGUUUGAAUCGUACAAUUACGAUUUCAUUUUUGCAAUCGACGAUAAAUGAACGUGUAACUAAUUGUUUACUAUUUUACAAUGGACGUAAUUACAGUGGUUACCUAAGGAAGUAUAGAGAGCAUUUAUAGAAAUAUCAUGUCUGGAAUUUGUGCGUCCACGUUAGAGAGAGAGAGGCAAUGGCCUCAGGGUCCAACACACGUAGGAAACGUAUCAGAUUUUUACCGACGACAUCACCUUUAUUUAGUGGUGACAUCAACCAACGCAAGUGGUCUCGAAGGUUACCAAUUGCCAUAGAGGGAGCAAUGCUUGUUAUUAUAAUUCUUUCUAUGCAAAAAGAAACCGAAUGGCAUUCAUUAUAGAAAUGAUCUCACAUCCAUCUCAUUUUUAUUCGAGACACGUACAUUCAUUUGCAAACGAUCUGUCUCACCUUAGAGUUAUAUUCCAGAGAAGAUAGUAUUACAGCUUGAUAAUUAUCUUGGACUAUUGACCUCGUUCCAAACUAGGAAAGAAGAUUUAUGUUAGCUGCUGAAGUCUGGUUCGCAUUUAAAAAAAAAAAAAAAAAAAAAAUAAGCUAAAGAAAGAAAGGAAGAAGGAAAGAAAGGAAAGAAAAGAAAAGAAAACUAACAAACAAACAAACAUAUCUUAGCCUUUAAUUCAUAAUA
RNA transcript from Vespa velutina, 2766 nucleotides. It is a transcript of the gene named protein Cep89 homolog, with no coding region annotated. The transcript is spliced from 8 exons. NCBI's taxonomy places the organism in Eukaryota, Metazoa, Arthropoda, Insecta, Hymenoptera, Vespidae. The record is from RefSeq and is a predicted model, not a curated record.